This 757-nucleotide ribosomal RNA is filed under the name uncultured bacterium. RNAcentral's name for it is "bacterial SSU rRNA". It matches the Rfam family "Bacterial small subunit ribosomal RNA", at positions 28 to 792 of the family's 1533-position model. The record is from RNAcentral.
AACAACCUGGCGGCGUGCUUAACACAUGCAAGUCGAGUGCGCGGUUGUAGCAAUACAACUGGCGCACGGCGCACGGGUGCGUAACACGUGGGCAAUCUGCCCUUCGAUGGGGAAUAACUCCGGGAAACCGAAGCUAAUUCCGCAUAACAUUCCCUGGACUCCGGUUUGGGGAAUCAAAGCAGUGAUGCGUCGGAGGAGGAGCCCGCGCCCGAUUAGCUAGUUGGUAGGGUAACGGCCUACCAAGGCUAUGAUCGGUAGCUGGUCUGAGAGGAUGGCCAGCCACACUGGAACUGAGACACGGUCCAGACUCCUACGGGAGGCAGCAGUGGGGAAUCUUGCGCAAUGGGCGAAAGCCUGACGCANCGACGCCGCGUGGGGGAUGAAGCUUCUCGGAGUGUAAACCCCUUUCGACUGGGACGAAUACCUCGCAAGAGGGGUGACGGUAUCAGUAGAAGAAGCCCCGGCUAACUACGUGCCAGCAGCCGCGGUAAGACGUAGGGGGCCAGCGUUGUUCGGAAUUACUGGGUGUAAAGGGUUCGUAGGCGGUGUGGCAAGUCGGGAGUGAAAUUUCUGGGCUCAACCCAGAAGCUGCUUCCGAAACUGCUGUGCUUUAAUUGUGGGAAAAGCGCGUGGAAUUGCAGGUGUANCGGUUAAAUGCGUANAUAUCUGCAGGAACACCCGUGGCGAAAGCGCGCGCUGGACCACAACUGACCUUAAGAACAAAAGCUAGGGGACAAACAGGAUUAAAUACCUGGUA